RNAcentral lists this ribosomal RNA (440 nucleotides) under uncultured bacterium. Its description in RNAcentral is "bacterial SSU rRNA". It matches the Rfam family "Bacterial small subunit ribosomal RNA", at positions 338 to 770 of the family's 1533-position model. The record is from RNAcentral.
CCUACGGGUGGCAGCAGUGGGGAAUUUUGGACAAUGGGGGCAACCCUGAUCCAGCAAUGCCGCGUGAGUGAAGAAGGCCUUCGGGUUGUAAAGCUCUUUUGUCAGGGAAGAAACGGCCGAGGCUAAUACCUUUGGCUAAUGACGGUACCUGAAGAAUAAGCACCGGCUAACUACGUGCCAGCAGCCGCGGUAAUACGUAGGGUGCAAGCGUUAAUCGGAAUUACUGGGCGUAAAGCGUGCGCAGGCGGUUUUGUAAGUCUGACGUGAAAUCCCCGGGCUCAACCUGGGAAUUGCGUUGGAGACUGCAAGGCUGGAGUCUGGCAGAGGGGGGUAGAAUUCCACGUGUAGCAGUGAAAUGCGUAGAGAUGUGGAGGAACACCGAUGGCGAAGGCAGCCCCCUGGGUCAAGACUGACGCUCAUGCACGAAAGCGUGGGGAGCA